RNAcentral lists this ribosomal RNA (497 nucleotides) under uncultured bacterium. RNAcentral's name for it is "partial 16S ribosomal RNA". It matches the Rfam family "Bacterial small subunit ribosomal RNA", at positions 28 to 507 of the family's 1533-position model. The record is from RNAcentral.
GAUGAACGCUGGCGGCGUGCCUAAUACAUGCAAGUAGAGCGCACAGACGAGAAGCUUGCUUUUCUGACGUUAGAGGCGGACGGGUGAGUAACACGUGGAUAAGCAACUUAUCUGACUGGGAUAACUUCGGGAAACCGGAGAUAAUACCGGAUAAUAUUUUGAACCGCAUGGUUCAAAAGUGAUAGACGGAAUUGCUGUCACUUAUAGAUGGAUCCGCGCUGCAUUUGCUAGUUGGUAAGGUAACGGCUUACCAAGGCAACGAUGCAUAGCCGACCUGAGAGGGUGUUCGGCAACAUUGGAACGGAGACACGGUCCAGACUCCUACGGGAGGAAGCAUUAGGGAAUCUUCGGCAAUGGGCGAAAGCCUGACGGAGCAAGGCCGCGUGAGUGAUGAAGGUCUUCGGAUCGUAAAACUCUGUUAUUGGGGAAGAACGUAGGUGGAAUGAACUGUUCACAUCUUGACGGUACCUAAUCAGAAAGCCACGGCUAACUACGUG